This 1210-nucleotide long non-coding RNA is filed under the name Salmo salar (Atlantic salmon). Its description in RNAcentral is "lncRNA (ENSSSAG00000113128.1)". Lineage: Eukaryota; Metazoa; Chordata; Actinopteri; Salmoniformes; Salmonidae. The record is from RNAcentral.
AAAGAGACUCCACCACUCUGUCUCUCUGUCUGUCUUCUCUCCUUACUCUGCCCGGUCUCCCUCUCCCCUUCCUCUCCGCUCCUCCGCAGGAAAGAGCAGAUAAAAGAGGUGCUUGGAGCUUCUGAGGAGAGAGAGGUGUGUUUGAAGAGCUAACUCCUGAGCAGCUUCCUUCCUUCCUGACCGACAGACUGACAAACAAAGAGACCAGUGAAGAGCAACAGAGCCUCACUGGGAUGAAAACACCUAUCAUAUUACAUUACUCCAGAUGACUAUUACCACAGGACCACAGCCAGAGCAAACAGAACCCCAGUCAGCUGUCUUCUAAAGCCAACAGCGAUAAGGCCAAUAUCAGGUCUUUAAUAAAGACAGCUGGGGAGAGCAAAUUCUGUUACCAUGGUGACUGCAGUGUCAGCUAACCUAGUUUCCACGGUGGAAGGACAUUGGGUGAAGAGAGAAGGCUAGCCUAUUGGUAACAUUAUUGAUGUACAACGGGGCAUGUGAAGUCUCUGACUGGGGGUGUAGGUGAACACAUACACACACAGCCGCCUCUUCCUAUACGUAGACUACACGCUGCAAGGGGGCCCCACGACCCCCAAAAAUAUAAUACAAAUGUGUUUUUUUAGGAACUAAGAUAGUUUGAAAAGUAGAAUACACAAGGUGCAAUGUUUUAAUUUGGUAGUUCAUCAGCAGUUUUCCACUUGUUAUGUCAGUCACUCAAUUAGCACCCAUGUCAGAAAAACAUUUUGUAUUGCUAGUGAUGGGUUCUGACUCCUAAACUUGGAAUAGUGUUAAUUAUCAGGUAUCCUAUUGAAAUAUUGAGUGCUAUAGUCUAGGAGGGUCUACCUACACCAGAAGUUAAUGGUUAUCUGUAGGAGGAAUGAAUAUGGUGGAGGCAAUUAAGCUUGGAUUGUACUGAGUGAAGGAAAGACGAUCACAUGUUGGCAGGCACUGAUAAGGGUGGAGAGAUGUGGUUUAGUGAGGAAGGGGGCCAAGGUCAGGUCAGAUCACGUUAAUAAGGGAGAAGGAAUAGUUUAUUUCCUGCCUAGCAACAAAGAUGUCAUGUUUAGAGAGAAGGGGGAGAUUCCACCCCAAAUUGGGGUAUAUAUGGGGCAGCAGGUAGCCUAGUGGUUAGAGCAUUGGGCCAGUAACUGAAAGGUUGCUGGAUCGAAUCCCUGAGCUGACAAGGUAAAGAUCUGUUGUUCUGCCCCUG